This 460-nucleotide ribosomal RNA is filed under the name uncultured bacterium. RNAcentral describes it as "partial 16S ribosomal RNA". It matches the Rfam family "Bacterial small subunit ribosomal RNA", at positions 338 to 795 of the family's 1533-position model. The record is from RNAcentral.
CCUACGGGUGGCAGCAGUGAGGAAUAUUGGUCAAUGGGCGGGAGCCUGAACCAGCCAAGUCGCGUGAGGGAAGACGGUCCUAUGGAUUGUAAACCUCUUUAGGCGGGGAGCAAUGCCGGGCACGCGUGCCCGGAGGGAGAGUACCCGCAGAAUAAGCAUCGGCUAACUCCGUGCCAGCAGCCGCGGUAAUACGGAGGAUGCGAGCGUUAUCCGGAUUUAUGGGGUUUAAAGGGUGCGUAGGCGGAUUUUUAAGUCAGCGGUAAAAUGUCCGGGCUAAACCUCUUCGAGCCGUUGAAACUGGUUUUCUUGAGUGAGUGAGAAGUAGGCGGAAUGCGUGGUGUAGCGGUGAAAUGCAUAGAUAUCACGCAGAACUCCGAUUGCGAAGGCAGCAUACCGGCGCUCAACUGACGCUCAUGCACGAAAGUGUGGGUAUCGAACAGGAUUAGAUACCCUAGUAGUC